This is a long non-coding RNA of Microtus ochrogaster (prairie vole), 1121 nucleotides long. RefSeq lists it as uncharacterized. The record is from RefSeq and is a predicted model, not a curated record. Lineage: Eukaryota; Metazoa; Chordata; Mammalia; Rodentia; Cricetidae.
GCAGAGGGGGGUCCGAUGCCAGUUGCUUAAAAAUGCCCCUGUAGCAUCAAGAGGUGCCAGAACCGAGUCAACUUAGUUGAGAAGCAGUGACACCCACAACCAUACCCCAAAUAAGCUGAGCCUCCACCUCCGAAGAGUCCUCCCUGGGCCAGACAACAGCCAAGGCAAGAGUGAUGGCUAGUCAAAUCCCCCACUACGCUGGAGAAUGAGGAGCCCUAGAGAGAAAUCCUCCCGAGAACCAGAAAAACGAACAGCGGUGCCCGCCUGCUCCCAGAUCUGAGCUUCCCAACAGACAGAAGCCAGAGAUUCCCCUAGCCCGGAGACAUUUUCUGAAGACGUAGGAAAAGGAGAAAAAGAGGAACACCCCCUGCAGCAGGCCUCCGAGAUGCAGAGAGCCAACGCCAAGCGCAAGCCCUGAGGAAAAGCUACCUACAGACAACCCUGAAGGUGUGUGUCUUCCAGCAUCAAGACCAUCACAGUCACCAUGAAGCAAAGGUCUUCCGGGGACCCUGGGAUCUUAUCAAGAGCAGGGUGAGUGGGUGGUUUGGGGUUGGGGUGCCCUGCUCACCUGGAAGUUCCCACACAAGCCACGCCCAUAGAAGAAAAUGAAUUCUCCACGUGGCCACUCAGUCAGCCACCACCACACGUCUGAUAUGUCUGUUGUCGCGUGCAAGUCUUCAGCAGUUUCUAGGGACCCCACAUUGUAACAUAGGAGCCCUGGCCUCAGGGAACUGCAGAGGUAAGUGGGGAUGGCCCAGAGAGAGGAUGAGGUGGUUUGCAACUCAAGCAGCGUUCAACACGGCCCUGAUUUGGGAGCUGAGGAAAUCCAGCCAGCUCCCUUUCCUCGUGUAGGAAUUCUACCUCAAGAGUUGGGUAGAAACAGAGUUCACAGGUGGACAGGAACAUGAAGGAGGUGUCCCGGGCUCUAAAGGAGUGAGGAUGGUUUCUCACAAGUGAUCCUUUGCCCAGAAUGCAUACAGAGAUGGGCGGGGAACAAGAGCAGGAAACCAGGAGGUAAGCAAACACAGAGGAGUGUGCAAGGGCACGGGGUUCCAUUCCCAGCACUGCAGAGAAAAAAAAAAUCUAAUUGCACACUUUAAAUGGAUUGGCUCGACCUCAAG